GCUAAUCCUGGUCGGACAUCAGGAGGUUAGUGCAAUGGCAUAAGCCAGCUUGACUGCGAGCGUGACGGCGCGAGCAGGUGCGAAAGCAGGUCAUAGUGAUCCGGUGGUUCUGAAUGGAAGGGCCAUCGCUCAACGGAUAAAAGGUACUCCGGGGAUAACAGGCUGAUACCGCCCAAGAGUUCAUAUCGACGGCGGUGUUUGGCACCUCGAUGUCGGCUCAUCACAUCCUGGGGCUGAAGUAGGUCCCAAGGGUAUGGCUGUUCGCCAUUUAAAGUGGUACGCGAGCUGGGUUUAGAACGUCGUGAGACAGUUCGGUCCCUAUCUGCCGUGGGCGCUGGAGAACUGAGGGGGGCUGCUCCUAGUACGAGA
This 369-nucleotide ribosomal RNA is filed under the name Salmonella enterica subsp. enterica serovar Bahati. Its description in RNAcentral is "partial 23S ribosomal RNA". It matches the Rfam family "Bacterial large subunit ribosomal RNA", at positions 2320 to 2688 of the family's 2925-position model. Lineage: Bacteria; Pseudomonadati; Pseudomonadota; Gammaproteobacteria; Enterobacterales; Enterobacteriaceae. The record is from RNAcentral.